Molecule: ribosomal RNA, 222 nt
Filed under: Filopaludina sumatrensis
Lineage: Eukaryota; Metazoa; Mollusca; Gastropoda; Architaenioglossa; Viviparidae
Description: partial 28S rRNA
Rfam family: Eukaryotic large subunit ribosomal RNA
Source: RNAcentral
GGGAUGAGCCCAGCACCGAAUCCCCCGGCAUGCAGCCGGUGGGAAAUGUGGUGUGUGGGACGCCAACUGUCGUCCGCGCUGGAGACCGAAGUCCUCCUGAUCGGGGCCUCUCCCACAGCGGGUGUCAGGCCUUUACCGGUCUCUGGCCGGGCGGCUGCGAGCGUCUCAGGAGUCGGGUUGUUUGGGAAUGCAGCCCAAAGCGGGUGGUAAACUCCAUCUAAG